GAUGCUAUGGAAGAUCAGAAAAUAUAAAUUUAUGAACUGCUAUAAACUGUUAUUUUCUUCGUGAAGAUCAGCCUCCAGGUUCAUCACAUGACUCAGCUAAGAGAAAAUAUCCAGUGGCUCAUCGUUACCUGUGGGAGGAGGUCUGAACUCCAUGGCUUUGCAUUCAUGUUCUUGUUUGUCUCACUUCAACCUUCAUUCCCUCCAAGUCCUCGUUGUCCUCCCAGGGUUCCUCUGCUACAGCCGGGGGAGUCUGAUCCCUGCUUCCUAAAUUUCUCUGAAGCUUAUCUACACCUAUGUUUUUGCUCCACUCUUCUUUCUCCUUUAUACACCAAUUAUUCUCCUGUUUUAUCCAAAUUAUUCCCUUCUGCAAGACUCACAUCAAGUACGAUUUCUUUC
RNAcentral lists this long non-coding RNA (396 nucleotides) under Homo sapiens (human). Its description in RNAcentral is "non-protein coding lnc-UCHL5-108:18". Lineage: Eukaryota; Metazoa; Chordata; Mammalia; Primates; Hominidae. The record is from RNAcentral.